UUGGGUCCAAGAUAUCAUAUGUUUUUUUUAUAUUCAGAUUGUCUAACAAAGAUAAAAGUAGGGAAAAUAGCUGAUUGUGAAUUAAUAUAAACAUUAUUUCAUAAACAAUCGACUACGACUGAUUUUGCUAUUUGAUAAUGGACUUUCCGUUUUGUUUCAGUAAUUCGGUAUACUGUAAACCAACUUAUUUUUUUUAUUUUGUAUUAUGCCUGUAAACUUU
Molecule: long non-coding RNA, 220 nt
Filed under: Mytilus galloprovincialis (Mediterranean mussel)
Lineage: Eukaryota; Metazoa; Mollusca; Bivalvia; Mytilida; Mytilidae
Source: RNAcentral